GACGAACGCUGGCGGCGUGCUUAACACAUGCAAGUCGGACGGUGAAGCCUUCGGGUGGAUCAGUGGCGAACGGGUGAGUAACACGUGAGCAAUCUGCCCUUGACUCUGGGAUAACUUCGGGAAACCGGAGCUAAUACCGGAUAUGACAUCUGGCCGCAUGGUCUGGGUGUGGAAAGAUUUAUCGGUCAAGGAUGAGCUCGCGGCCUAUCAGCUAGGUUGGGGA
RNAcentral lists this ribosomal RNA (223 nucleotides) under uncultured bacterium. RNAcentral describes it as "partial 16S ribosomal RNA". It matches the Rfam family "Bacterial small subunit ribosomal RNA", at positions 28 to 256 of the family's 1533-position model. The record is from RNAcentral.